UAAAUAAAUAUCUAAAUUUUAAGUAUAUCGUUUACAAUGAUAAGAUGUUUUUUUAACUUUAUUUAA
This 66-nucleotide transfer RNA is filed under the name Pseudoregma panicola. Its description in RNAcentral is "tRNA-Val". Lineage: Eukaryota; Metazoa; Arthropoda; Insecta; Hemiptera; Hormaphididae. The record is from RNAcentral.